UGAUCAGAUCACUAAGGAUGGCAUCGAGGCUCUGGUGCGAGGCUGUCGAGGCCUGAAAGCCCUGCUCCUCAGGGGCUGUACACAGUUAGAAGAUGAAGCUCUGAAGCACAUUCAGAAUUACUGCCAUGAGCUCGUGAGCCUCAACUUACAGUCCUGCUCGCGCAUCACGGACGAAGGCGUGGUGCAGAUAUGCA
Non-coding RNA from Microcebus murinus (gray mouse lemur), 194 nucleotides. The record is from RefSeq and is a predicted model, not a curated record. Lineage: Eukaryota; Metazoa; Chordata; Mammalia; Primates; Cheirogaleidae.